RNAcentral lists this unclassified non-coding RNA (1864 nucleotides) under Hevea brasiliensis (rubber tree). The record is from RNAcentral. Lineage: Eukaryota; Viridiplantae; Streptophyta; Magnoliopsida; Malpighiales; Euphorbiaceae.
GAAAAACUUGUAUAUUGUUGCUUAAAAGCCAUUUCUGGAGUUUCUGCAACAGCUCAAAACUGGAAUUUUUGGAUCAUAAAUAUUCAAUUUUGCCUCGUUUACUAAUUGUUUCAAUUUAAACAAGAGGAUUCAUCGAAUCAUCCUCAUCUUUGAACGUAUACGAGGAAUUGAACCAUCAUACUAGAACUACAAACGCUUUUGCUGCUCAUGACCUCAUUAUUCUUUAUUGCAGAGCCAGCUAACCACGUGGCUACAGAGAGUCAGAGACUCAACAGUUGGUUCCCAUAAAUUGCAUCCAUAGAUAAAGGAUGCAGCAACAGUCAACUGGCCCCUCCAAAACAGUAAGCCAAGUAGUGGUGAGUGACGAGAAAUGCGACAACAAAACGCCAAUGCGAGAUAUAGACAGGACAGGACCAUUGCGGUUCCCAGGUAAUUUAAUGAGACGCGUCGUCUUGUGCCCCAAAGAAAAGUCAAAUAACAAACCCAUCUUUCUUUAGUUUUUUGCUCCUCCAUGGAAUUACCUGCUUCAAACCCUCAUAAAUAGUCCCCUGCAAAAUUUCAACACAAUCGUUUUCUUCAGUGUUGAUGAGCAAAUGGGCUAAGAUUGAAUAGAUUUUUAACAGCUUAAUCAAACUUUCUCUGUCAGCAAUAGCAUAAUCAUUUUGUUUUUUUGCAUCUGCUGCAAGGUAACUACUCGGUUUUUAAUUUGUUGCCCAACAAUGCAAAUUAUCAGCACUAACCAAGGGUUUCUGUCAAGGAAUUUAAGUCUCUUAAAUUAUUCGUAAUUCGAUUGCAUUUGCAUUACAAACAUUUUAAUUAAUUAAUUAACUAAUUUGAUGAAAUAAUAUAAACGAUGAUCACCUUCUUGAGCAACUCUUUUUUUUCCCCAUUUCAGUGAAUAGAUUACGUGCCGGUUACUAGCUUAACAAGGUCGACAGAAAAAGAAUACACACUCCGAUAGGAAAAAUACCUUGCAUCCCUCAAGAUUCAAGACUAUCUACACGUUAUAUAAAUAAGUAAUAAAGACUAGAGAACUAACCCAGAAACGAGACCUGGUACGCGUGGAACAGCUGCCUGAUCUUCUGAUCCUUGUGAUCUUGGCAUUCUUGUUACUUCCCUCGUCCUCUUUGUUGCUAUCUUCGACAUCUCUGUCCAUGAACGACGGAAAGACAUAGCUAGCCCCACCAACCUCUCUUUUACCCGUGAAGGCCCUCCUUCCCCAACGCCAGGAACCUAAAAGUCCUCUGUCUUUCAGCCGUCUCUUGCUAAGAACCAUGGUACUAAGCUGACCUCUCUCAGGACUACAACUCCUACGAAAGGACCCAUAACACUCCCUUCUGAUCAUUCUAAACGAAGAAGACUGAAAUCUUUGUUUGCCCAUAUAAGGUCCCUUCAUGACCGUAGUCGGCGAGAGCAGCUUGUUAACAUUGGCAUCCAAGAGCAACCUUGGAGGUAGCUCUAGGCACUUGGGGCUAAAGUCAAUGGGGUUGGAGAGAGGAGUGCAGCCGCUGGGCUUUCCAGGCUCUUCCUCCCAGCGAAAUGGGACAGAAGCUGAGGCAUAGAGUGGCGGGGUUAGCAUCCCUGAUCUCUGUGGUGACUGCACAUAUGCAUGUGCAUGUGGGCUCAAGAAUAAUGGUAAUCUUGGUGUGGAGCUAAGCUCUGGUUCUGUCUCAGAUCCCAUUGCUCUUUGUCAAAUCUCUGUGUCUCUCUCUUUCUUCUCUCUCUCUCUCUCAAUGCUCUAUAUGACUCUUAUCUACUGGGGUCUCGGCUUGUCCUGUAUGGCGUAAUUGUGUGCUUCUUAGGUAGUGUGACUUUGUUCCAGGAAGACAACGGGGAAGAUGGGAACGUUUUUCAAGAGGAAAAU